This 507-nucleotide ribosomal RNA is filed under the name uncultured bacterium. Its description in RNAcentral is "partial 16S ribosomal RNA". It matches the Rfam family "Bacterial small subunit ribosomal RNA", at positions 28 to 507 of the family's 1533-position model. The record is from RNAcentral.
GACGAACGCUGGCGGCGUGCCUAAUACAUGCAAGUCGAACGCAUUUUCUUUCACCGUAGCUUGCUACACCGAAAGAAAAUGAGUGGCGAACGGGUGAGUAACACGUUGGUAACCUGCCCAUCAGCGGGGGAUAACACUUGGAAACAGGUGCUAAUACCGCAUAAUUCCAUUUACCGCAUGGUAGAUGGGUGAAAGGCGCUUUUGCGUCACUGAUGGAUGGACCCGCGGUGCAUUAGCUAGUUGGUGGGGUAACGGCCUACCAAGGCUGCGAUGCAUAGCCGACCUGAGAGGGUGAUCGGCCACACUGGGACUGAGACACGGCCCAGACUCCUACGGGAGGCAGCAGUAGGGAAUCUUCGGCAAUGGACGCAAGGCUGACCGAGCAACGCCGCGUGAGUGAAGAAGGUUGUCGGAUCGUAAAACUCUGUUGUUAGAGAAGAACAAGGAUGAGAGUGGAAAGUUCAUCCCUUGACGGUAUCUAACCAGAAAGCCACGGCUAACUACGUG